This is an unclassified non-coding RNA of Carlito syrichta (Philippine tarsier), 271 nucleotides long. The record is from Ensembl. NCBI's taxonomy places the organism in Eukaryota, Metazoa, Chordata, Mammalia, Primates, Tarsiidae.
ACACAAUCUUAGUCUUUCCAUCUUAAAGGAUUCCUUCCAAGUAUUUCUUUUGUGCUUUUUAACCUAUAAAAGAUAAUGGAAUAUGCUUUAUAGACUGGAUUUUAUCUCGUUCCCUCUCCCAACUGCACUCAGUUUAAUAGUUGUCAGUAUUUCCUCCGUGUUGAAUUUAAUUAUAUAGGAACAAAAAAAUUUCUCAGUGAAUUAACCUGCUACAUCUUCUCACAUUUGUCAUUUCCCCUUUGAGAAAUAGCUUCAUUACCGAAAGCUACCU